RNAcentral lists this ribosomal RNA (393 nucleotides) under uncultured bacterium. Its description in RNAcentral is "partial 16S ribosomal RNA". It matches the Rfam family "Bacterial small subunit ribosomal RNA", at positions 523 to 918 of the family's 1533-position model. The record is from RNAcentral.
AUACGGAGGAUGCGAGCGUUAUCCGGAUUUAUUGGGUUUAAAGGGUGCGUAGGCGGUCGGGUAAGCGUAGGGUGAAAGUCCUCUGCUCAACAGAGGAAGUGCCUUCCGAACUGUCCGACUGGAAUGCUCCUGCCGUGGGAGGGAUGUGUGGUGUAGCGGUGAAAUGCAUAGAGAUCACACAGAACACCGAUUGCGAAGGCAUCUCACGAAGGGGCUAUUGACGCUGAGGCACGAAAGCGUGGGGAUCAAACAGGAUUAGAUACCCUGGUAGUCCACGCAGUAAACGAUGAUGACUAACCGUCGGCGGUAGACCGCCGGUGGCCAAGCGAAAGCGAUAAGUCAUCCACCUGGGGAGUACGACCGCAAGGUUGAAACUCAAAGGAAUUGACGGGG